Molecule: ribosomal RNA, 430 nt
Filed under: uncultured bacterium
Lineage: Bacteria
Description: bacterial SSU rRNA
Rfam family: Bacterial small subunit ribosomal RNA
Source: RNAcentral
AAUCAACGCUGGCGGCGUGCCUAACACAUGCAAGUCGAACGCGAAAGCCCUUUCGGGGGUAAGUAGAGUGGCGUCCGGGUGAGUAACACGUAGGUAAUCUGCCUUCGGGUGGGGGAAUAACCAGUCGAAAGAUUGGCUAAUACCGCAUAAUGCAGCGGCACCUAAUGGUGAUUAGUUGUUAAAGCGGGGGAUCGUAAGACCUCGCGCCUGAAGAGGAGCCUGCGGCAGAUUAGCUAGNGGUGAGGUAAUGGCUCACCAAGGCUUCGAUCUGUAGCUGGUCUGAGAGGACGGCCAGCCACACUGGCACUGACACACGGGCCAGACUCCUACGGGAGGCAGCAGUGGGGAAUUUUGGGCAAUGGGCGAAAGCCUGACCCCAGCAACGCCGCGUGAGGGAGGAAAUCCUUCGGGAUGUAAACCUCACAAGCAA